GCUCCUUUACAGCUUACACAUAUGACAAGAGCUGUGAAGUACUGGUGCAGGCUGAUACAACUGAGCCCGGAGAGACUACCAUAUAUCAGUGUUACAAGAUGCUAGCUGUUCUGGAUGAUUCAGGUCGCACCACCUGGACCACCUGGACCACCUGGGCCCGGAGAGACUACCAUAUAUCAGUGUUACAAGAUGCUACCUGUUCUGGAUGAUUCAGGUCGCACCACCUGGGCCACACACAUUAAAACUAUUUUAUUCAGAUUUGGAUUUGGAUAUGCAUGGAUAGCACAAGAAGUUGGGGAUAAGAUUGUUUUUAUUUCCAUGUUUAAACAGAGACUAUUUGACAACUUGCAGCAAACCUGGAAUGUAAAUGUGAACAGUUUAUCUGACUCAUUCCUAUAAACAUUUUAAAUCGCUACUAAAUGUUGAAUAUUACUUAAAUUCACCACUUCCAUCUCACUUAAAAAGGAUUUUAAGUAACUUUCCAAUAGCAGUAAAUACUGGAAGAUACCAUGCCUAACUAUAUGAAGAAAGACUUAUUAAUAAUUUGUGAAUCCUACAGCUCUGGUAAUGCACGUUUAGAUAAAUAUAUUACAUACCGUAACUGUAUCUCUAUUAUUUCCUCAGAUGCAUAUGAUACCUUAUAUAAAAUAUCUAUUUUUCUCAACCAAAGCUCAUCAACUUAGGGUAAAUAGUAAAUAAUCCACUGCGAAUUUAUAAGAAUAAAAACAAAAACAAAUGUAAAUAAUGUAAAUAUCAUUUUGCGCAGGCUUUAUGUAUUCCUGCAUAUGUAUGUAUUUUGGGCCAGUGGCUUUCGUUGAAUAAAUUGUCUGUGUGUC
Long non-coding RNA from Haliotis rufescens (red abalone), 836 nucleotides. RefSeq lists it as uncharacterized. The transcript is spliced from 2 exons. NCBI's taxonomy places the organism in Eukaryota, Metazoa, Mollusca, Gastropoda, Lepetellida, Haliotidae. The record is from RefSeq and is a predicted model, not a curated record.